CACAAGCAGCGGAGCGUGUGGUUUAAUUCGUUGCUACACGAAGAACCUUACCUGGGUUUGACAUAUAGGUUGUAGGGAACUGAAAGGGACGACCUUCGGGAGCCUAUACAGGUGUUGCAUGGCUGUCGUCAGCUCGUGUCGUGAGAUGUUCGGUUAAGUCCGCUAACGAGCGCAACCCUCGUCGUAUGUUAUAUGUGUCAUACGAGACUGCCGGUAAAAGCCGGAGGAAGGUGAGGAUGAUGUCAAGUCAGCAUGACCUUUAUAUCCAGGGCUACACACACGCUACAAUGGUCUGUACAAUGGGUAGCCAAGCCGCGAGGCGGAGCCAAUCCUGAAAGCAGGCCUCAGUUCAGAUUGCAGUCUGCAACUCGACUGCAUGAAGCCGGAGUUGCUAGUAACCGCAGGUCAGCAAUACUGCGGUGAAUACGUUCCCGGGUCUU
RNAcentral lists this ribosomal RNA (440 nucleotides) under uncultured Anaerolineaceae bacterium. RNAcentral describes it as "bacterial SSU rRNA". It matches the Rfam family "Bacterial small subunit ribosomal RNA", at positions 924 to 1382 of the family's 1533-position model. Lineage: Bacteria; Bacillati; Chloroflexota; Anaerolineae; Anaerolineales; Anaerolineaceae. The record is from RNAcentral.